Molecule: non-coding RNA, 130 nt
Filed under: Anaerococcus prevotii
Lineage: Bacteria; Bacillati; Bacillota; Tissierellia; Tissierellales; Peptoniphilaceae
Description: glmS glucosamine-6-phosphate activated ribozyme
Rfam family: glmS glucosamine-6-phosphate activated ribozyme aptamer
About the family: This entry contains a glucosamine-6-phosphate activated ribozyme that is found in the mRNA for GlmS.
Source: RNAcentral
ACAAAGAAGCGCCAGAUCCCUAGGGGGAUGACGAGGAAGACAGUUAUCGAAAGUUCGGCGGGAGCUGUCUGGGUUCACAGCCCUAGUAUUAGACAAAACAUUUGAGCAAUCAAAUGGACAGAGAAGAUAC